AUUGAACGCUGGCGGAAUGCUUUACACAUGCAAGUCGAACGGCAGCACGGACUUCGGUCUGGUGGCGAGUGGCGAACGGGUGAGUAAUGUAUCGGAACGUGCCCAGUCGUGGGGGAUAACGUAGUGAAAAUUACGCUAAUACCGCAUACGAUCUAUGGAUGAAAGCGGGGGAUCGCAAGACCUCGCGCGAUUGGAGCGGCCGAUAUCAGAUUAGGUAGUUGGUGGGGUAAAGGCCCACCAAGCCAACGAUCUGUAGCUGGUCUGAGGGGACGACCAGCCAGACUGGAACUGGGACACGGUCCAGACUCCUACGGGAGGCAGCAGUGGGGAAUUUUGGACAAUGGGCGAAAGCCUGAUCCAGCCAUUCCGCGUGCAGGAUGAAGGCCCUCGGGUUGUAAACUGCUUUUGUACAGAACGAAAAGGUUUCUACUAAUACUAGGAGCUCAUGACGGUACUGUAAGAAUAAGCACCGGCUAACUACGUGCCAGCCGCCGCCGUAA
This 500-nucleotide ribosomal RNA is filed under the name uncultured bacterium. RNAcentral's name for it is "partial 16S ribosomal RNA". It matches the Rfam family "Bacterial small subunit ribosomal RNA", at positions 30 to 523 of the family's 1533-position model. The record is from RNAcentral.